This 236-nucleotide unclassified non-coding RNA is filed under the name fungal sp. RNAcentral's name for it is "partial internal transcribed spacer region". The stretch from base 1 to 45 matches the Rfam family "Eukaryotic small subunit ribosomal RNA", at positions 1787 to 1831 of the family's 1831-position model. The record is from RNAcentral. Lineage: Eukaryota; Fungi.
AGUCGUAACAAGGUAUCCGUAGGUGAACCUGCGGAUGGAUCAUUACUAAAGGUUUUUUACCCGACGUAUUGUGAACUGUAUUGAACCACAGUCAGCGGCUAGCUGCAAGGUGAAGGUGAAGGAUCUAGGUCCUGAACCAGUCGCUGGCUGUACAACCAAACGUAGCCAUUUCCUUAAACUGAAGUCUUGUUAGUUACAAACUAAGAUAACUUUUAGCAACGGAUCUCUUGGCUCUC